CCUAGGUCACCCUUGAAUAAACUACCUUCGUUGCUUUGGCGGGCCGCCUCCAAGGCCAGCGCUUCGGCUGCUGCGCGCCCGCCGGAGGACCACAACUCUUGUUUUUAGUGAUGUCUGAGUACUAUAUAAUAGUUAAAACUUUCAAAAAACGGAUCUCUUGGUUCUGGCAUCGAUGAAGAACGCAGCGAAAUGCGAUAAGUAAUGUGAAUUGCAGAAUUCAGUGAAUCAUCGAAUCUUUGAACGCACAUUGCGCCCUUUGGUAUUCCGAAGGGCAUGCCUGUUCGAGCGUCAUUAUAACCACUCAAGCUCUCGCUUGGUAUUGGGGUUCGGGGCUUCGCGGCUCCUAAACUCAGUGGCGGUGCCUGUCGGCUCUACGCGUAGAAAAACUCCUCGCGUCUGGGUCCGGGUAGGUGGCUUGCCAACAACCCCCAAUUUUUUACAGGUUGACCUCGGAUCAGGUAGGGAUACCGGGCUGAACUUAAGCAUAU
RNAcentral lists this ribosomal RNA (488 nucleotides) under Phialophora sp. GL2-BB1. RNAcentral describes it as "eukaryotic LSU rRNA". The stretch from base 137 to 291 matches the Rfam family "5.8S ribosomal RNA". The record is from RNAcentral. Lineage: Eukaryota; Fungi; Ascomycota; Eurotiomycetes; Chaetothyriales; Herpotrichiellaceae.